AAAAAUUUUAUUUCAUAUCCACAAUCUAGGUAUUAGUGGCGGACUCAAAUCGAAUAAAAUAAUCGUAAUAAUAAAAUCAGAUUGGGAUUUCUCAAUAGAAAAAACGUAAGAAUCGGGAAAUAAUGAGAUGGUCCAGAUUUUUCUUGUCUAUCGCAAAAUCUCAAUAUCAAUAUUUGAAUCGAGGAUUCACGCUGUAAGACUUAUCUGAUCUUAUAAAUUUUAAAAAUGUUCAAAUUCUUGUUUUCCAAUAAAUAAAAUUCUUAAUUUUUUUUUGUUAGGACAUUAUUCAAAUUAAAG
RNAcentral lists this long non-coding RNA (297 nucleotides) under Lupinus angustifolius (narrow-leaved blue lupine). RNAcentral's name for it is "long non-coding RNA (LANG_LNC001713)". The record is from RNAcentral. Lineage: Eukaryota; Viridiplantae; Streptophyta; Magnoliopsida; Fabales; Fabaceae.